UACGAAGGGGGCGAGCGUUGUUCGGAAUUACUGGGCGUAAAGGGCGCGUAGGCGGCGACUCAAGUUAGAUGUGAAAGUCCAGGGCUCAACCCUGGAAAGCGGGUGGAUACUGCCGGGCUAGAAUCCGGAAGAGGCGAGUGGAAUUCCUGGUGUAGCGGUGGAAUGCGCAGAUAUCAGGAGGAACACCAAUAGCGAAGGCAGCUCGCUGGGACGGUAUUGACGCUAAGGCGCGAAAGCGUGGGGAGCAAACAGG
This 253-nucleotide ribosomal RNA is filed under the name uncultured bacterium. Its description in RNAcentral is "partial 16S ribosomal RNA". It matches the Rfam family "Bacterial small subunit ribosomal RNA", at positions 524 to 776 of the family's 1533-position model. The record is from RNAcentral.